GAUGAACGCUGGCGGCGUGCCUAAUACAUGCAAGUCGAGCGAGCAGACGAGGAGCUUGCUCCUCUGACGUUAGCGGCGGACGGGUGAGUAACACGUGGAUAACCUACCUAUAAGACUGGGAUAACUUCGGGAAACCGGAGCUAAUACCGGAUAACAUGUUGAACCGCAUGGUUCAACAGUGAAAGACGGUUUUGCUGUCACUUAUAGAUGGAUCCGCGCCGCAUUAGCUAGUUGGUAAGGUAACGGCUUACCAAGGCAACGAUGCGUAGCCGACCUGAGAGGGUGAUCGGCCACACUGGAACUGAGACACGGUCCAGACUCCUACGGGAGGCAGCAGUAGGGAAUCUUCCGCAAUGGGCGAAAGCCUGACGGAGCAACGCCGCGUGAGUGAAGAAGGUCUUCGGAUCGUAAAACUCUGUUAUUAGGGAAGAACAAAUGUGUAAGUAACUAUGCACGUCUUGACGGUACCUAAUCAGAAAGCCACGGCUAACUACGUG
This 497-nucleotide ribosomal RNA is filed under the name uncultured bacterium. RNAcentral's name for it is "partial 16S ribosomal RNA". It matches the Rfam family "Bacterial small subunit ribosomal RNA", at positions 28 to 507 of the family's 1533-position model. The record is from RNAcentral.